GUCUGUGACCUGAUGAGUUGAUGUAGCAGUGGGACUAGUUUGCCUUUUGCUUGGAUGCAGGCACUGGCAGAGUGCUAGAUGGUUUCAUGCUAAGCUGAUGGAAUGGAAUGUGUCUGGAAGGUGGUGGGGACGUUUGAUAAUGGAUGAUGAGGAAGUUUUGCCAUGACAUCACGAAGUCUCACUAUUGAGGAUGCAGUGCCCAAAACUGGACAGGAAAUUCACUGUAAGACUUCAGCAAAAGGACAAAAGCAAUCAUCUUUCAAAGACACUACUGGUUUUCAAGUCUCAGUACAGUGCUUACAUUUCUCAUGAUACCAUGGUGAUGUGACAUACCCAUCACAAUCAAUACAGGUCCUGUAGACUCUUCAGGAGGUCUACAUCCUAUCUGUCCUCACCUUGCCAGGGCCAUGUCUGUUUUUAAUCCCAGCUUGUUGGGAUCACGCUUGUUUUUAGUCUUGUGCUGCAGUGAAUUUACAGUCUCGC
This 483-nucleotide long non-coding RNA is filed under the name Gallus gallus (chicken). Its description in RNAcentral is "long non-coding RNA NONGGAT001066". The record is from RNAcentral. Lineage: Eukaryota; Metazoa; Chordata; Aves; Galliformes; Phasianidae.